Molecule: small RNA, 230 nt
Filed under: Histoplasma ohiense
Lineage: Eukaryota; Fungi; Ascomycota; Eurotiomycetes; Onygenales; Ajellomycetaceae
Description: hypothetical lncRNA
Source: RNAcentral
GUGCCCCAAAAAGUGGUGAAGUACGUUAACAAUAAAUCAGAUUAUAAAGAAUCUAAUGAGGUGCCCCGGUUACCGAAUGGUUGCCAGGUACGGAGUAGAUACCUUCGGGCGGACCCACUACCUGAUUUAAUUGUUCCUGAGCUGGGACUAGUUAUCUUGGCGCAUUUUCAACACCAGGAUUCCUUUUGUAUAACCAACUCUUGCCUGUAUUUAACAUCACAAGGACUGCA